AUCCUUGGGAGUGUACUGGGC
RNAcentral lists this unclassified non-coding RNA (21 nucleotides) under Mus musculus (house mouse). Its description in RNAcentral is "oocyte_clustered_small_RNA1832". The record is from RNAcentral. Lineage: Eukaryota; Metazoa; Chordata; Mammalia; Rodentia; Muridae.